Clupea harengus (Atlantic herring) is the source of this 246-nucleotide long non-coding RNA. RefSeq lists it as uncharacterized. The record is from RefSeq and is a predicted model, not a curated record. Lineage: Eukaryota; Metazoa; Chordata; Actinopteri; Clupeiformes; Clupeidae. The transcript has 3 exons.
AGUGUGAAAGUGAGUGAUUCCUACUCUUGCUCUUUCUUUAGACACUAAGCCAGAGCUCGAUGAUGUGACCUCAGUGAUUACAGUGAUUGUGGUGGUGAUAGGUGUUUGUCUGAUUGUCCUGGCAGCAGCCAUUUAUUUAAUGUGGCAACGCAAAGGAUCAAGAACAUCUCCCCAGAGCAGUUACACUAGUGCCUCUAGUGAAGAUGAACGUGGGAUGCCCUUAGAGCCUGUCACAUCCUAGAACAC